RNAcentral lists this small nucleolar RNA (129 nucleotides) under Jaculus jaculus (lesser Egyptian jerboa). Its description in RNAcentral is "Small nucleolar RNA SNORA33 (ENSJJAG00000007719.1)". The record is from RNAcentral. Lineage: Eukaryota; Metazoa; Chordata; Mammalia; Rodentia; Dipodidae.
CAGCCAGUCAAGUGAUCUGCUUAUCUGAAUGUUUUCACAGUGAUUUAGAAACAGCUGACAACAGUGAUACCAUUCUAUGAGUGCUAAGGGCAACUGAGGUCAUUACAGUCCCACAAACUGACUACAAUA